CCUACGGGGGGCUGCAGUAGGGAAUAUUGGGCAAUGGACGCAAGUCUGACCCAGCCAUCCCGCGUGAAGGAUGAAGGAUCUCUGGUUCGUAAACUUCUUUUGUUGGGGAAGAAAACGCGUCACGUGUGACGUGCUGACGGUACCCAACGAAUAAGCACCGGCUAACUCCGUGCCAGCAGCCGCGGUAAUACGGGGGGUGCAAGCGUUAUCCGGAUUCACUGGGUUUAAAGGGUGCGUAGGCGGCUUGAUAAGUCAGUGGUGAAAGCCCGCAGCUC
This 275-nucleotide ribosomal RNA is filed under the name uncultured bacterium. RNAcentral describes it as "partial 16S ribosomal RNA". It matches the Rfam family "Bacterial small subunit ribosomal RNA", at positions 338 to 610 of the family's 1533-position model. The record is from RNAcentral.